GUUGCAACUUUGAAAAGUCACUAAAUGGAUGAUUGCUAUUUUUUUUUAAAAAAGAAAGAAUUACUUGAGAGUAUCCUUGUAAAAUCCCAGUCAUCUGCAGAGAGAGCCGUGUGGAUCAGCUUCCCAAACAUGACUUGUGUUGAUCAUCAUGCGCAUCACAUUCUUUUCAAGAACAUAGGAUGGCAUAAGGUAUGUGAGGAUACUUUUAUAAUUGUUGAUGGAAAUUUUGUCUAUGUGCGGAUUUUAAUAAAUUAUGAACUAUAUUUCUACU
Long non-coding RNA from Thamnophis elegans (Western terrestrial garter snake), 271 nucleotides. RefSeq lists it as uncharacterized. The transcript has 3 exons. The record is from RefSeq and is a predicted model, not a curated record. NCBI's taxonomy places the organism in Eukaryota, Metazoa, Chordata, Lepidosauria, Squamata, Natricidae.